Molecule: ribosomal RNA, 758 nt
Filed under: uncultured Enterobacteriaceae bacterium
Lineage: Bacteria; Pseudomonadati; Pseudomonadota; Gammaproteobacteria; Enterobacterales; Enterobacteriaceae
Description: bacterial SSU rRNA
Rfam family: Bacterial small subunit ribosomal RNA
Source: RNAcentral
AUUGAACGCUGGCGGCAGGCCUAACACAUGCAAGUCGAGCGGCAGCGGAAAGUAGCUUGCUACUUUGCCGGCGAGCGGCGGACGGGUGAGUAAUGUCUGGGAAACUGCCUGAUGGAGGGGGAUAACUACUGGAAACGGUAGCUAAUACCGCAUGACCUCGAAAGAGCAAAGUGGGGGAUCUUCGGACCUCACGCCAUCGGAUGUGCCCAGAUGGGAUUAGCUAGUAGGUGAGGUAAUGGCUCACCUAGGCGACGAUCCCUAGCUGGUCUGAGAGGAUGACCAGCCACACUGGAACUGAGACACGGUCCAGACUCCUACGGGAGGCAGCAGUGGGGAAUAUUGCACAAUGGGCGCAAGCCUGAUGCAGCCAUGCCGCGUGUGUGAAGAAGGCCUUAGGGUUGUAAAGCACUUUCAGCGAGGAGGAAGGCACCAUACUUAAUACGUGUGGUGAUUGACGUUACUCGCAGAAGAAGCACCGGCUAACUCCGUGCCAGCAGCCGCGGUAAUACGGAGGGUGCAAGCGUUAAUCGGAAUUACUGGGCGUAAAGCGCACGCAGGCGGUUUGUUAAGUCAGAUGUGAAAUCCCCGCGCUUAACGUGGGAACUGCAUUUGAAACUGGCAAGCUAGAGUCUUGUAGAGGGGGGUAGAAUUCCAGGUGUAGCGGUGAAAUGCGUAGAGAUCUGGAGGAAUACCGGUGGCGAAAGCGGCCCCCUGGACAAAGACUGACGCUCAGUGCGAAAGCGUGGGGAGCAAACAGG